GUGAAUCAUCGAAUCUUUGAACGCACCUUGCGACCCUUGGAUAUUCCGAGGGGCAUGCCUGUUUGAGUAUCAUGAACAUCUCAACUCUCAUGGUUUGCCGUGACGAGCUUGGACCUUGGGGGUUUUGCUGGCCUGUGGUCGGCUCCUCUCAAAUGAAUCAGCCUCCCAGUGUUUGGUGGCAUCACGAGUGUGAUAACUAUCUACUCUCGCGGUUGCCCACCAGGUAACCUUUGGUGACAAAGGUUCGCUGGAGCUCACAGAUGUCUCUCCUUAGCGAGGACAGCUUUUUUAACGUUCGAUCUCAAAUCAGGUAGGACUACCCGCUGAACUUAAGCAUAUCAAUAAGCGGAGG
This 352-nucleotide ribosomal RNA is filed under the name uncultured fungus. Its description in RNAcentral is "eukaryotic LSU rRNA". The stretch from base 297 to 352 matches the Rfam family "Eukaryotic large subunit ribosomal RNA", at positions 1 to 56 of the family's 3401-position model. Lineage: Eukaryota; Fungi. The record is from RNAcentral.